RNAcentral lists this ribosomal RNA (483 nucleotides) under uncultured bacterium. RNAcentral's name for it is "partial 16S ribosomal RNA". It matches the Rfam family "Bacterial small subunit ribosomal RNA", at positions 30 to 506 of the family's 1533-position model. The record is from RNAcentral.
AGUGAACGCUGGCGGCAGGCCUAACACAUGCAAGUCGAGCGGCAGCGGGUCCUUCGGGAUGCCGGCGAGCGGCGGACGGGUGAGGAAUACAUCGGAAUCUGCCCUGUCGUGGGGGAUAACCUAGGGAAACUUAGGCUAAUACCGCAUACGACCUACGGGUGAAAGCGGGGGAUCGCAAGACCUCGCGCGUCAGGAUGACCCGAUGUCCGAUUAGCUCGUUGGCGGGGCAAAGGCCCACCAAGGCGACGAGCGGUAGCUGGUCUGAGAGGAUGAUCCGCCACACUGGGACUGAGACACGGCCCAGACUCCUACGGGAGGAAGCAGUGGGGAAUAUUGGACAAUGGGCGAAAGCCUGAUCCAGCCAUGCCGCGGGGGUGAAGAAGGCCUUCGGGUUGUAAAGCCCUUUUGUACGGGAAGAAAUCGUCUGGGCUAAUACCCCGGGCGGAUGACGGUACCGGAAGAAUAAGCACCGGCAAACUUCGU